GAAGGGGAGGGGGUGUCGUCUCUUGCUUUCAGGCAGAGGCUGCCUAGGGAAAUCUCUCUUGGAGCGAAUCUAUCGAUAGGCAAUCAGGGUGUGGCACAGAACAAUGGAUAGAAGUUGUCUCGGAGAGCUUUCCACCUAGGCCUCGCUCUUCAGAAAAUAAGAUGAAAAGCAAAGAGCCCAUCCAGCCCAUUGGCCCAACAUGUGAAGAAGAUGGCAAAGCAUAGGCUGUACUUACCACCCACAUCACAAAUGAGUGGGAACUGGGACAGGUCAAAGGCAGAAAGCACUUCUCUUCCUAGGACAGGCCAGAGUUCAUUCAAAAAACUGGACGAGGUUUGUAACUCUUCCUUUGAUCUAGAAUUAAAAUAAACACUACCAAAUAAACACCUCUAAAUAUAACUUUA
Long non-coding RNA from Pantherophis guttatus, 404 nucleotides. RefSeq lists it as uncharacterized. The record is from RefSeq and is a predicted model, not a curated record. NCBI's taxonomy places the organism in Eukaryota, Metazoa, Chordata, Lepidosauria, Squamata, Colubridae.